Molecule: ribosomal RNA, 377 nt
Filed under: uncultured bacterium
Lineage: Bacteria
Description: bacterial SSU rRNA
Rfam family: Bacterial small subunit ribosomal RNA
Source: RNAcentral
AUUGAACGCUGGCGGCAGGCUUAACACAUGCAAGUCGAGCGGAGACUUCGGUCUUAGCGGCGAACGGGUGAGUAAUACAUCGGAACGUGCCCAAUCGUGGGGGAUAACGUAGCGAAAGUUACGCUAAUACCGCAUACGAUCUACGGAUGAAAGCGGGGGGAUCGCAAGACCUCGCGCGAAUGGAGCGGCCGAUGUCAGAUUAGGUAGUUGGUGGGGUAAAGGCUCACCAAGCCAACGAUCUGUAGCUGGUCUGAGAGGACGACCAGCCACACUGGAACUGAGACGCGGUCCAGACUCCUACGGGAGGCAGCAGUGGGGAAUUUUGGACAAUGGGCGCAAGCCUGAUCCAGCCAUUCCGCGUGCAGGAUGAAGGCCUU